This 1025-nucleotide long non-coding RNA is filed under the name Eucalyptus grandis. RNAcentral's name for it is "long non-coding RNA (EGRA_LNC007309)". The record is from RNAcentral. Lineage: Eukaryota; Viridiplantae; Streptophyta; Magnoliopsida; Myrtales; Myrtaceae.
UUCCACUGGAGGGUAGGCAAUGGAUUAUCAACGUCACUCUGGUUUGACAAUUGGCAUCCCAGGGGUCCUUUGAAUUUAUAUUUCACGGAUCCCCUCAUCUACAGCUCCGGUCUCUCUAGGCAGGCUUUGGUUGCCGAUCUCUUCUCUGAGGAUGGACAAGCUAUCAGAUCAGAGAUUGAGUCUUGGGGUUCGCCGCUUCCUUCCUUGUCUGGAACCCAAGAUCGGUUCUGUUGGAGGGAGGACUCGACGGGCUUGUUCUCGGUGGCCUCGGCUUGGGAGGCCUUAAGGAGGAAGAAGGCUAGAGUCAAUUGGCAUUGUUUCAUUUGGAGUAAUGCCAUCCUGCCUCGCUACCAACUAAACCUGUGGCUCAUCACCAAGAGGAGGUUACCUACUCAGUCUCUUCUCAUGUCUUAUGGUAGGAUUGAUGCUGCUUCCUGCCCUUUUUGCAACGAGGUGCCUGAUUCAAUCAAUCAUCUCUUUUUUGGUUGUCGCAUUACCUCGAGUAUUGCCUUUUUCUGGGCUACUAGAUGCAAUCUCCUUGGACCAACAGGACUUGGGAGGAGACUCUCAGUUGGGCCAUUACCUUGCUCAACGGCAAGGAGUUUUAUAAGCGUGUUGCCCGGUUCUCCUUUGGGGCGCUGUGUCACAUCAUCUGGAGAAACAGGAACAAUAUUCUGUUCAGGGGGGAGCCGUUAUCUAUUUCGGCCAUGAAGAAGCAUCUCCUCAAGGUUGUUAAGGAUAAGGCCCUUACCUUUGAGAAUGUUGAGGACUCUCCCAGGAACAGGCGGAUGCAACGCUCGUGGGAUGUGGACCCCAUUAUUUUCGCUUCCUCUGAUUAUAGUCUGACUUAGGCUUUUCGGUGGUUGUUUAGGUGUUUUUGCCAGGCUUGUUUUGCCGUUGGCUUGCUGUAGGUCGUUUUGUUUGCUUGUCCGCGGCUUCCUUUCACUCUUAAUGAGCGUGUUCAUUUUGAGUGUAAGCUUUUGGAGCCGUGUUGUUUGUACAGUUUGACCCCUAUUAAUAUAUUG